GUGGGUACGGCAGCCUAUGUCAUGGUUUAUAAUAGGGAACAAACAGAAAGGUGAGUUGUAGCACUGACCUCACAGUGGACCUGCUUCCUAUGACACAACCAUGUGAGCUCUCUGGACCUCUGUUUCCUAUUCUGUGAAGUGAAACAUUGGACUACAUCAUGUCUAACUGCCCUUGGAUUUUCAACUUCCUUGUUGAAAGUCAGAAGUGUUUUCAUUUAUCCGGAAGAAUUCCAGGACAAAGCCUCCAUCAAGGAGCGGAGUCCAGAUGUCAGUGAAGUAGACACUGCCAAGUUGAGGACUUCCUCAGCUCAUUACAUUGUUUAGCUAUCUCGAGUGCAGUGUAUCAAACACGAGUGCAUCUGCUUCUCAGGAUCCUUCACAGACUAUACAAUAAUGCUAUGCCCCUGGGAGUCACUAAAACAUGAUGAAGCAAAGAAAGACAAAGACAGAAGAAAGGGAUAAGAAGAGUAGGAGUGAAGAGGGCAAAAGAUUAAAACAAGCAUGUCCAGGAAGAUUCUGCGCCCAAACUGGCUGUCAAGUGGACCAGAGGAAGUGUCUGCCAAGAGAUACAUUUAAAAUGGUGGUGUAGCAACAAAAGAAAAGAGAGUUUCUGUCCUUGGUCCCAUAGCUCAGCACUUUUCUGCCCAUGGUUCCACAGUAAAUUUGAAAUCAAUUAUCCUUUGUCAUUUCCUGAUAGAAUUUCUAUCACUGUGCUCACAACUGAAAGAGAGACUAAGCAGAAAGGGCCAGG
This 751-nucleotide long non-coding RNA is filed under the name Fukomys damarensis (Damara mole-rat). RNAcentral describes it as "lncRNA (ENSFDAG00000030268.1)". Lineage: Eukaryota; Metazoa; Chordata; Mammalia; Rodentia; Bathyergidae. The record is from RNAcentral.